UAUAAAUAUUAUGCAACGGUAACAUCUCAAAAUAGAUAGAGGAAAUAUGGCUGCAAGCAACAAAGUUGGUGCAAUAUAUCUUCUCAUUUUGUGUAGUGCAAUUCUACUAAGCGUGAAUCCAGCAACUGUGAGGGCAAUAGUAUGCCCUAAUGUAUGCAUGGACUAUGCAGGGUAUAUGACCUGCCCAUCUUCGGGCAGUAAGCAACUCAAUCCGCCUUGCAAUUGCUGCUAUGCUCCAAAGGGCUGCACCAUUUAUCGUGCUUCUGGAACUCCAAUCUGUACUGCCACUGGGGCUUGAAUAGUUGAAGGGAUUGGUGGACAAGAUCCGAUGUUAAACAUGUUUGCUGGAAGUUAUGUUUGGUUUGCAACAUAAAGUUAUCUGUGUGUUGUUACAGAGACACAAAGAUCUUUGUGCUGUUGUAUUAUCUUUUUGUAUUUGUACUGCCUAUAUGAAUCAACCCUUUAGCGGUUUGUAUCUAGCUUGUUCAAUCAAGUUUUAGCCUUUUGUGCUUUAUGUGUGCACUCAUGUUAAUUCAAUGUGUUUCCUUU
Long non-coding RNA from Alnus glutinosa, 549 nucleotides. RefSeq lists it as uncharacterized. The record is from RefSeq and is a predicted model, not a curated record. NCBI's taxonomy places the organism in Eukaryota, Viridiplantae, Streptophyta, Magnoliopsida, Fagales, Betulaceae. The transcript has 2 exons.